Long non-coding RNA from Chelonoidis abingdonii (Abingdon island giant tortoise), 4389 nucleotides. RefSeq lists it as uncharacterized. NCBI's taxonomy places the organism in Eukaryota, Metazoa, Chordata, Testudines, Testudinidae. The record is from RefSeq and is a predicted model, not a curated record.
CCCAAAUAAAUCUGUUAGUCUUUAAGGUGCCACCGGACUCCUAGUUGUUUCUAUGAAUACAGACAAACACAGCUACUCCCUGAUAAGGGAAGAUGUUAGUUUGUGGUGUGAUAGGAGUUAAGGCAUUGAGCAAAGUGCUUUGGAGAGAGAGGACAUGUAGUACAGACCCCAUAUGAUGGGAUUAAUGCCAGGAAAAAGAGGAGGUGUGUGUGUGUCUAAGUCAAAUAUAUAGGUGCAUAAAGUUAGGCUUAAUGUCUGAAUAAAUCAUGAGCAGAGACAAAAGUAAUAUGACUCCUCACAUUUUAUUUAGAAGAAAAUAAAGGCUGAAAGCUAAGUUCCUGGAACGUCUCAAGCCACCACUCCCCCAGAUGAGUAAGAGGUUCGCAACUUGGUCCUAAGACUUUUUACUUUUCUUCUUUUUCCUCUUUUCAGUCUGAGACUUUUGCAUCUCCUCUCACCCCUUCUGUACUCACCUGCUUUCCUCCACUUUUGUUUUCUAUCUGCCAUCUUGCAUGUGUUUGUAGACAGCACCAAGGCCGAUCGCCACUUCCUUCCCACUCCUUCCUCUGUAAGGUUGGUGUCAGCUUGACAUGCGCCCAAUUCAGAGCUGUAUUUUGGGUAUAGACACCGGUACCACCAAAAUUAAGGGAUGUUUAGAUCCAGUGUUCUUGCUGGACCUGUCUCUAGCAGAGAUGAGACCAUUCCAAAACCCCUGGCCCAAAUACCCCCAAAUUUUGCAGUCUGGGUAUUGAUCCCUUCUUCUGAAACACUGUCCACUGUGAGAGACAGACUCUUAUACUAGAUAGAUCAUUGAUCUAUUAUGGCCACAUUCCUAUGAAAUGCAGGGAUUUCCUGUGUUUGAGACUGAAUGGCUAGCAGUGAUUACAUAUGAGUUUGCAUGUAAAAGGAAAACAAGCCCUGAAUGCCGGAACCUGAGCUGCAUACAUGCUGCUUCCAAAAGAGGCCUGGGCUAAGUGACUGGGAGUCAGCCCAAGCCCCAGACAUGAUUUAGAAGCGUCAGACAAAAUAGCCUGAAAAGGACCUCAAUCAAAAUCCUGAACUGUAGUGAAGCUUGGAUCUGAAUCCAGUUCUUGCAGCCUAAGGCCGUCUCCUCUAUAAUAGCCCUAGGAUCUGACCCUAAUUUGGAACUGAAACCAUAUUGGUAAAUAUUACUCACUUUACUGGAUAUGUACACCCAUUCCUAACAAGUGGUUCAUUGAAUAGGGUGCUGGUGCCAUUCAGGAUGAGAUUCUGAGCUUCCGUUAAUACCCACUGAUGUCCUGAUUCUAAUCUCACUUCCUGUGGUUUCACACCAGCAAAGCGCCAUUGACUUUAGUGGAGUCAGUCGUGAUUUGAGGCCUGAUCCAGAGCCCAAUCAAAUCUGUGGAAGUGUUUCCAUUGAUGUGAAGGGGUUUUAGAGCUGGCCUUUUCAUCAGUGUAAAGGAGAGCCGAAUCAGGCCUGUGGACAUCAGGGGUGCUCAGAAUCAGGCCCAUGGAGAGGCAAGGGGAGGCUUUCACACAUAAGGCACAGAACUGCAAAAGCCUAAUGCACCAGUUCCCUCAGAAUAACCAGAUCCACAUAAUUUAGGAAUCUCUGGGGCUUCUGUUGGCUUUUUUUUGUUGAGCUAUUCUGAAGAGAAGCACUUGAGUUAAUAAGGAACAAUGACCAUAGACUAGCUCUGUAAUUACAUGAUAUUUACUUAGUGGUUAUUCAUUUAUAAGUUUACAUCUGUUCAUGGUAACACUUGUGCCAUGUAAUCGGCAAGGCAUAAAUAACCGUGUAAUUACUCUGAAAUUACCCCCUAAUUAUCUCCCCCAUUAUGGAUCUGAUUUAUGGUUAUUUGUUCCAUGGAAAGGGGAGGGGGAAGAAGAGGAAAAGCUCCAUGUGAAGCAAUGGCUGAAAUGUACAGGAUCUAAUUCUGUCUUCUCCACCCUCCCUGAAUAUUCCCAAUGCUUGGCUUGAUUUUUGGAGAAGGGGCUUCACGCAGAAGUGUUUUGUGGUUCACAGAGGGCUGGACUGGCCCCUGGUAGUCCAGCCUCAUUAAGGGGCAGCAUGGAACAGCAGUGCCCCAGGGAAAGUGCACAGUCUCCAUUGUGACGGUGAGAAUCACAACUGGAUCUCUGCUUCCUCUUUUUUUCCACAAGGUAAAUAAUCUUCCCCAGACCUUUUACUGGCACACCUCACUUCCCCCUCCAGCUGGCUCACUUACCUUGGCUGGCAUGUUAGGGAAGGAUCCAGUGUCCACCCCUCCCUGCCCACCUGCAUCAGAGGGGGUGUGGCCUUCGCUUUCCCCACUGUACAGGGGUUGGGGCUACAGGUACCCAGUCCAGGUGAAUACAUAGGCUUACACUUACAUGCAGCUGGGCUGAUGACUGAUCCUGGAGAUGCUUGAUCAAGGUUAUAGCUGUACAGUUUGGAGAUUGGGAGGAGAAGAGGGAGAGGGCUUUUUAAAAGCACACACUCAGCCUGUAGCCCUCUUCUUGCAGUCACACACACACUGGGGUUUGAGCACCUACCCAGAGAAACAGGCUGCUUGAAAUAUGAGUUAGAGGGAGGUUGUGACUGUCCAUUAUCCUGUGUCUGAGUAGAAGAGCUUCAUUCUUACUUUCAACGUCAUAUAGCAAGGCCUGCACUGUGGACCAUACCACACAGGGACUGUCUUUGUCUUAAGCAAGUAUUUUAAAGUAGCCCCAAAGCUUCCAGUUCAAAUUUGUUUGCUAGAUUUUUUUUCUUUUCUUUUUUUAAAGAAGGACCCUGGGCCAAAUUCAGCUCUGGAUUAAGCAGGCACAAAUCCUCAUUCUCUUCUGUUUAGAUUCAUAGACUGUGCCCAUCACCAUGGUAUCUGAGAACAUUGAACCGGAUUCUCCUCUCACUGAUACUAGUGUAAAGUAGGAGUGACGCUAUUGAAGCCAAUGAAGUUGUAAACACAGAGGAAGGUCUUAAUCCAAUGUCCAUUGAGGUCAAUGGAAAGACACCAUUGUUUUCUGUAAGUGUUGGAUGGGCCCUCAAUGAGAGUAGCAUAAGGCCUGUUGACCUCACAAUACUGCACUCACUCAUAAGACCUUUGGUCCCAUCUCUGCUAGGCCACUUAGGUGGGCUGGUGCCUUGAGCGAUUAUUUCCAUAAGGUUUUUCUAUCCAAGGCCAGUGCAUAUGCAUUGGUCUGAACUGAGUGUUUGGCCGUUAGCCUGACUACUGUCAAACACCAAACAGACUGGGAGGUGGAAGAAACUUGUCUUUCAAAGAAACAUUCAUCUACAACUGUAGUCCCUGUGUGUCUUUCCUUUCCAGCAUUGAGUUCACCACUAGUAGCUGGCCUGAUUUGAACCACAGUUGCAGGGAAGGGAAGGCAAAAGGCUAGGCACUCCUCACGCUUCAGAAAUAGACAUCACAAUCAUUCAGCCCCCUACCAACAUGAAUCUUAGUGAAGAUGAACUUUGCAGAGAAACCCUCCGUGCUUGGCGGUGACGGGAAUAAGAAUAUGGACAUAGCAGGGCUGCUAAAGCAAUGGAAAUGGCUAACAGGUGACAUCAAACCAACGGACAUACCAAAUAACAUCAGAUUUCCCUUGCUGAUUGACAGGUGAGCCUGCUCAAAUCCACAAGCAGAUGUUUUCCACCCUUCAAACUAGCUCUUUAUGCUUUGCCUGUCACCGCAAAUUGGCUGAGGGUAACAGUACACUAAAAUGUGUAGUAACCCAGGGUAGCCUGAUCGGUAAAUUAACAAUAACCAAACUAACGUAAGGUACAAUGUUCUGUAUAUCAGUUGGGCUGUUAAAGUGAAAUGUCUGUGUCUGACAAUCGUUGCUUGAAAGUGCUAUUUAAUGUCUUUGUCUCUAAAUAAGCCCCAGUGUUUGGCCUUUUGCUAAUAUUGUGAAGUUUUACAUUAGGGUUCUGGUGUAAAUAACUUUAUUGCUACUUAGACCCUAGUAUCCUGUAUCUGUGCAUAAUUACUUGAAAGCUAUAUUUUUUUCUGUAUGUCGACAUACACUUUUCCAGUGAACAGGACAUUCAGAUUUGCAGUUUGUUUCCUGGAGGGUUUUCCUUUGCAAUUUUAUAUUCUGUUUUGGUUUUUAAUCUUUCAAUGCCCAAGUCAUCCUGCUGUUUUAAAGAGAAUUUUUUGUGGUGUGAUUUCCAAGCCCUUUAUCUACAUUGGGUUAGAGUUUUGUUAAAACUGCAUGUCCCUGCAUAUAAAUAAUUGUAUACGCUCUUCUUUUCUGAAUGGAUAUUACUGUAUUAAAGCAACUACACUCAGUGUGGAUAUGGUUCUCUCUUUAGGCCUGUGCAAGUCCAGCCUGAGUGAUGUCAGGACCAGAGGCUCAUUGUAAAAAUGCUAUUCCUCUUUGAUAGCUCUGGAACAGCAGCAAAUGAAAUAUACUUUCACCAUAACA